GGUCCGAAGAUUGUGAGUUAUCACAAUUGAUUGUUCACAGUUAUAGACAGAACUCUUUGUUCUACUCUUUCCCUUCUCACUACUGCACUUGUCAUUUUUU
Non-coding RNA from Chlorocebus sabaeus (green monkey), 100 nucleotides. Lineage: Eukaryota; Metazoa; Chordata; Mammalia; Primates; Cercopithecidae. The record is from Rfam.